ACUCAAAUGAAUUGACGGGGACCCGCACAAGCAGUGGAGUAUGUGGUUUAAUUCGAUGCAACGCGAAGAACCUUACCCAGAUUUGACAUACAGAGGACAGUACUAGAAACAGUAUCUCCCUUCGGGGCCUCUGAACAGGUGCUGCAUGGCUGUCGUCAGCUCGUGCCGUGAGGUGUUGGGUUAAGUCCCGCAACGAGCGCAACCCUUAUCAUUAGUUGCUACCAUUUAGUUGAGCACUUUAAUGAGACUGCCCGGGUUAACCGGGAGGAAGGUGAGGAUGACGUCAAGUCCGCAUGGCCUUUAUAUCUGGGGCUACACACGUACUACAAUGGUCGGUACAGAAGGCAGCGAAACCGCGAGGUGAAGCAAAUCCCAAAAGCCGAUCUCAGUUCAGAUUGUAGUCUGCAACUCGACUACAUGAAGAUGGAAUUGCUAGUAAUGGCAGGUCAGCACACUGCCGUGAAUACGUUCCCGGGUCUUGUACACACCGCCCGU
This 495-nucleotide ribosomal RNA is filed under the name uncultured bacterium. Its description in RNAcentral is "partial 16S ribosomal RNA". It matches the Rfam family "Bacterial small subunit ribosomal RNA", at positions 899 to 1397 of the family's 1533-position model. The record is from RNAcentral.